GACGAACGCUGGCGGCGUGCCUAACACAUGCAAGUCGAGCGGACUUUCAGGAGUGCUUGCUCUCUUGAAGGUUAGCGGCGUGCGGGUGGGUAACACGUAGGCAUCCUGCCCAUAAAUCAGGUAUAACAUUCGGCAACGAUUCCUCAUACCUCAUAAACGGACUUCUCGCGUGAGGGGAUCGCGAACGCCGGAGCAUUAUGCUGCUUAUGGUUGGCCCCUAGGCGCGUUAGGUGGUUGGGGGGGCAACGGCCCACCAAGGCGAAGAGGCGUAGACGGGUCAGAGGGGUGAACGGGCAAAAUGGGACUGAGAAACGGGCCAGACUCCUAAGGGAGGCAGCAGUAGGGAAACUUCGGCAAUGGGCGGAAGUCUGACGGAGGAAAGGCGCGGGGGGGAAGAAGGCCUUUGGGUCGUAAAGCUCUGUUGCGAGGGAAGAACGGGUAGGGGGGUAACUGCCCGUGGCAUGAAGGUACCUAAGAAAAAAGCCCCGGCUAACUACGUG
This 500-nucleotide ribosomal RNA is filed under the name uncultured bacterium. Its description in RNAcentral is "partial 16S ribosomal RNA". It matches the Rfam family "Bacterial small subunit ribosomal RNA", at positions 28 to 507 of the family's 1533-position model. The record is from RNAcentral.